UUUUAAUAAAAUGAUUGAUGAUUUUUUUUGUAGUGGAGAAAGGGUCACACAAUUAUAUGAAAUGAGUGGUUGUGAUUGAAUAAGAGAUGUUUUUUUUUUUUUGGUAAAUAAGAGAUAAUUGCAAGGAUAAAUGAUAAGGAACAUGUAUGGGGUCAUAUCCUAAGAAGGAAAAUGACAUAGUUUUCACAUACGUCAAAAAUAGCAAAAAUGACAUAUUUUUGGCGGAUGGAUGGAGUAUUAAGGAUUAAGAGCAUCUCCAAUGCCCGGAUCGAAGGAGGCGUCGAUCCGGGCCUUCCAUUGUUGCGCCGCAUUGGAGAACUAGGGUGGUUCGAAGCUGAGGUUUAGCGGAG
Molecule: long non-coding RNA, 350 nt
Filed under: Salvia miltiorrhiza (redroot sage)
Lineage: Eukaryota; Viridiplantae; Streptophyta; Magnoliopsida; Lamiales; Lamiaceae
Description: long non-coding RNA (SMIL_LNC013853)
Source: RNAcentral